RNAcentral lists this long non-coding RNA (221 nucleotides) under Mytilus galloprovincialis (Mediterranean mussel). The record is from RNAcentral. Lineage: Eukaryota; Metazoa; Mollusca; Bivalvia; Mytilida; Mytilidae.
AAAAGCUCUGUUAUUCGACUUUUGACGAUGCGAAUUUAAGCAUGGAUGCAAUUUGGGUACCCCUCCUUUCAGAAUUAUUGAUGGUUUGGAGGUUAGUUCAGACCAAUUUUUCUAUGAUUCCAUAUGGAUUGAAAAUCAAAUUGGUGUACCUAAAUAAUAAAGAAGGACACGGCUACAAAAUAAACACAAAAUGGAAAAUUUUGUCUUAAUCAUAAAAAAAC